AUUUUAUGUAUAUGAGUACACUGUAACUGUCUUCAGACACACCAGAAUAUGGCAUUGGAUCCCAUGACAGGUGGUUGUGAGUCACCAUGUGGUUGCUGGGAAUUGAACUCAGGACCUCUGAAGAUUAGUCAGUGCUCCUAACCAUUGAGCCAUCUUUCCAGACCCCUAAAUUAAGGUUCUUAAGUAUAAUUCCAAUUAAGGAGACUAAAUAGCAAGAUGUAGCAGCAUAGGUGGUUUGGAAACGAAAUUUUCCUUUGAAAAAAGCCUGUGAGAAAAAUACAGCGACUGACUGCUUACUGGGUGAACUGGUGUCCUGCUAUCUGACACACAUCCUUAAUGUAGUCAGGUAGGAUGGCUCCUCUGCUGCUCAGCAGACAGUUUGGAGAGCUUUCUCUGCACUUCCCACUAUCACAGGUAUUAUGGGGCAAAACUGGGGGAAACACUGGGGGUAUAAUAGUGCAGGUCUAGUAAGGGGAGAACACGUUGCCUUGAUUCCUAAGUCACAGGGCUGCGUGGCAGGGAAAUCAACAUGGGACCACCUUCUCUAGGGAAAGUGGCUCGUAAGAGUUGGGAAGUGUUCCCACUCUGGCUGGUGGCAUUAUUGCAAGGUUUAUGCCAUAUAUAUAUCUCAAGAAAGGGU
RNAcentral lists this long non-coding RNA (640 nucleotides) under Mus musculus (house mouse). Its description in RNAcentral is "long non-coding RNA chr2:53121297-53121937". Lineage: Eukaryota; Metazoa; Chordata; Mammalia; Rodentia; Muridae. The record is from RNAcentral.